CACUAUGCUUAGCCCUAAACAUUGGUAACGCCCCACACCCGUUACUCGCCCGGAAACUACGAGCAUCAGCUUAAAACCCAAAGGACUUGGCGGUGCUUUAGAUCCACCUAGAGGAGCCUGUUCUAGAACCGAUACCCCCCGUUAAACCUCACCCCUCCUUGUUACUUCCGUCUAUAUACCGCCGUCGUCAGCCUACCCUGUGAAGGUCUAAUAGUAAGCAAAAUUGGCACAGCCCAGAACGUCAGGUCGAGGUGUAGCAUAUGGAAGGGGAAGAAAUGGGCUACAUUCUCUAAUCUCAGAGAACACGCACGACAUAAUGAAAACAUAUGUCACAAAGGAGGAUUUAGUAGUAAGCAGGAAAUAGAGAGUUCCGCUGAAAUAGGCCCUUAAGCGCGCACACACCGCCCGUCACUCUCCCCAAGCCUACAUAAACCCAAAUAACCUAAACUCUUCUACUGCAAAGGGGAGGCAAGUCGUAA
Molecule: ribosomal RNA, 479 nt
Filed under: Platax boersii (golden spadefish)
Lineage: Eukaryota; Metazoa; Chordata; Actinopteri; Ephippiformes; Ephippidae
Description: partial small subunit ribosomal RNA
Rfam family: Bacterial small subunit ribosomal RNA
Source: RNAcentral